This is a long non-coding RNA of Dermochelys coriacea (leatherback sea turtle), 1294 nucleotides long. RefSeq lists it as uncharacterized. The record is from RefSeq and is a predicted model, not a curated record. The transcript is spliced from 3 exons. NCBI's taxonomy places the organism in Eukaryota, Metazoa, Chordata, Testudines, Dermochelyidae.
GCCUGAAAGGGUGAAUUAGGCCAACUAAUCUAUAGGCUGCACCUGGAGGAAAGCCAGGGAAUGCUGAAGUCUCAUUUGCUGAUGAAGCUGGCAAUGAGGGAGGGGCUUCUGGGAAGUAGGUUGUAGUCUUUCCCUGGAGAAGGGAGGUGUGUUUGAGGCUAUAGGAUUGAGUAAUCUGAGGUUCUUCCCUGGAAGGAGCGAGUUUGAGCUGGUACACCCAGAGAGGGAGGAACCAGAAGCUGUAGGAAGGAGCAACAAGGGCUGAGAGAAAGCAGGCCAGGUAACAGGGUUCCUGGACUGGAACCUGGAGUAGUAGGCAGGCCCAGGUUCCCCCACUGGAGAAGUGGCACCAUCAGGGAGAAGACUGCCUGAGACUGUUAGUGUGGAAGAACUUUGGAUAACUCCCAGAAGGGGAAACCAUGUAGUGACCUGGCCAGAGAACAGUCACAAAGAGGAGGCUGCAGUUCCUGGUGCCAGAGGGGCCACAGGGUGAGACAAGAGGAGUGAAGACUCUAUCAGAGGAGGGUGCAAUGCCUGACAGAGCUAAUCCCCAGGACAGAGGGGAGGAGUCGCCACCUGUGGCAGGAGGCUGGUCAAAGCAAGGACCGAUGAUGAGUCCUCCACCAACAAGAUACUUUGGAGGAAACACCUCAAGCUGAACUUCUGGUUCUUGGCUCUCUCAUGGAUUAUUCCUCCCAUGCCAUCCUUUAUCACUUUCCCCAGGGAACACCCAAGGUCUGUGGACAGCCUCCAAGAGAUCUGAAGGAGGAAGGGUGGGCCACACUGCCAUGAAGAUAGCUGAACCCAAUUCUGCAUUUGGAAAGUCCCCUCCCUGCACAGAGCUAGAAGUAGAUGGUCCAGAUCUUAAUUAUUUGUAGAAGGAGCCUUUGAUUCCCUAAGUCUUAUUGUUGUUUUCUUGGUGGACAACUAAUUGGAAUCUGCUACAAAAAACAUUCACACAAAUAUAUUUGUAAAUGUUUUAUCUAUGCUAUGUGAUCCAAUGUUACAAAGAAAUGAAUUCUUUAAAAAAACAGAUAAAGGGGUUUGCCUAUGAAUACAGAAAUUGUCAUAAGAAUUAUUAUUAAUUCCAUACAAAUGCAUAAUUACAUUAACAUUUGCUUUUGAAUUAUGCCAAGUCAUUUUUUGCAGUAUUUGAUACCUUUACUUUCUAAUAAUCAAUUUAUUCUUUCUUGCAGAAAAUUGCUUUAAAAAUUAUGUUUAUAGUUGAAAGGCUUUCUAGGACUAAUUAUUAGUAGGUUGUUGAGGAUUCACUUUGCCUUUAUAAAUGAGUUUA